GACGAACGCUGGCGGCGUGCUUAACACAUGCAAGUCGAACGCUGAAGCUUGGUGCUUGCACUGGGUGGAUGAGUGGCGAACGGGUGAGUAAUACGUGAGUAACCUGCCCUUGACUCUGGGAUAAGCCUGGGAAACGGGGUCUAAUACUGAAUACGACAUGUCACCGCAGGGGGGUGUGUGGAAAGGUUUUUACUGGUUUUGGAUGGGCUCACGGCCUAUCAGCUUGUUGGUGGGGUAAUGGCUCACCAAGGCGACGACGGGUAGCCGGCCUGAGAGGGUGACCGGCCACACUGGGACUGAGACACGGCCCAGACUCCUACGGGAGGCAGCAGUGGGGAAUAUUGCACAAUGGGCGGAAGCCUGAUGCAGCGACGCCGCGUGAGGGAUGACGGCCUUCGGGUUGUAAACCUCUUUCAGCACGGAAGAAGCGAAAGUGACGUUACGUGCAGAAGAAGCGCCGGCUAACUACGUG
Molecule: ribosomal RNA, 472 nt
Filed under: uncultured bacterium
Lineage: Bacteria
Description: partial 16S ribosomal RNA
Rfam family: Bacterial small subunit ribosomal RNA
Source: RNAcentral